Molecule: ribosomal RNA, 255 nt
Filed under: uncultured bacterium
Lineage: Bacteria
Description: partial 16S ribosomal RNA
Rfam family: Bacterial small subunit ribosomal RNA
Source: RNAcentral
UACGGAGGAGGCAAGCGUUUAUCCGGAAUUAUUGGGCGUAAAGCGUCCGUAGGUGGCUCUCUCAAGUCUGCGGUCAAAGACCGGGGCUCAACCCUGGAAAGGCCGUGGAAACUGGUGAGCUAGAGUGCGGUAGGGGCAGAGGGAAUUUCCGGUGGAGCGGUGAAAUGCGUAGAGAUCGGAAAGAACACCAACGGCGAAAGCACUCUGCUGGGCCGACACUGACACUGAGAGACGAAAGCUAGGGGAGCGAAUGGG